GCAAGUGUAGUUUAAUAAAACACUAGAUUGUGGAUCUAGAAAUAAAGGCUAAACCCCUCUCACUCGCC
RNAcentral lists this transfer RNA (68 nucleotides) under Lepidosiren paradoxa (South American lungfish). RNAcentral describes it as "tRNA-His". It matches the Rfam family "tRNA". From Rfam's summary of the family: Transfer RNA (tRNA) molecules are approximately 80 nucleotides in length. Their secondary structure includes four short double-helical elements and three loops (D, anti-codon, and T loops). The record is from RNAcentral. Lineage: Eukaryota; Metazoa; Chordata; Ceratodontiformes; Lepidosirenidae.